CGAACCCGAUCGGAGCCGGGGACCCAAUGAGUACCAGGCACUCAACCGUGCCGGUCCCCCGGGGUGAAUCGGCCCCCCGCACCCAGCAGACGCACCCCGCACGGAGCCCCGUGCGUCCGCGUCACGGCGUGCACGGGGCUGUAGGGCGAACUCCCCUUCCGCCCGAACCCGUCAGCUAACCCGGUAG
This 187-nucleotide small RNA is filed under the name Actinospica robiniae. RNAcentral describes it as "c-di-AMP sequence". It matches the Rfam family "c-di-AMP riboswitch aptamer (ydaO/yuaA leader)", at positions 14 to 118 of the family's 134-position model. Rfam says of the family: This family represents a conserved RNA structure found upstream of the ydaO and yuaA genes in Bacillus subtilis and related genes in other bacteria. The ydaO/yuaA element is thought to act as a genetic "off" switch for the ydaO and yuaA genes in its native state. Lineage: Bacteria; Bacillati; Actinomycetota; Actinomycetes; Catenulisporales; Actinospicaceae. The record is from RNAcentral.